UCGAGAAUUUUUCUCAAUGGGGGAAACCCUGAAGGAGCGACGCCGCGUGGAGGAUGAAGGUCUUCGGAUUGUAAACUCCUGUCACCUCAGAGAAAUACCUUUAUUCUAAUAAAGUAAAGGGAGGAUCGUAUGAGGAGAGGAAGGGACGGCUAACUCUGUGCCAGCAGCCGCGGUAAUACAGAGGUCCCAAGCGUUGUUCGGAUUCACUGGGCGUAAAGGGUGUGUAGGAGGUAUGAUAAGUUUGACGUGAAAUCCCACUGCUUAACAGUGGAACUGCGUUGAAUACUAUCGUGCUAGAGGGCUAGAGAGGAGAGCGGAAUUCUUGGUGUAGCGGUGAAAUGCGUAGAUAUCAAGAGGAACACCAGCGGCGAAAGCGGCUCUCUGGAUAGAUCCUGACUCU
This 400-nucleotide ribosomal RNA is filed under the name uncultured bacterium. RNAcentral describes it as "partial 16S ribosomal RNA". It matches the Rfam family "Bacterial small subunit ribosomal RNA", at positions 355 to 747 of the family's 1533-position model. The record is from RNAcentral.